Molecule: ribosomal RNA, 252 nt
Filed under: uncultured bacterium
Lineage: Bacteria
Description: partial 16S ribosomal RNA
Rfam family: Bacterial small subunit ribosomal RNA
Source: RNAcentral
UACGGAGGAUGCGAGCGUUAUCCGGAUUUAUUGGGUUUAAAGGGUGCGUAGGCGGACGCUUAAGUCAGCGGUAAAAUUGCGGGGCUCAACUUCGUCGAGCCGUUGAAACUGGGUGCCUUGAGUGGGCGAGAAGUACGCGGAAUGCGUGGUGUAGCGGUGAAAUGCAUAGAUAUCACGCAGAACUCCGAUUGCGAAGGCAGCGUACCGGCGCCCAACUGACGCUGAAGCACGAAGGCGUGGGUAUCGAACAGG